UACGUAGGGGGCUAGCGUUGUCCGGAUUUAUUGGGCGUAGAGAGCGUGUAGGCGGCCAGAUAGGUCUGCUGUGAAAACUCGAGGCUCAACCUCGAGAUGUCGGCGGAAACCAUUUGGCUAGAGUCCGGAAGAGGAAAGUGGAAUUCCUGGUGUAGCGGUGAAAUGCGCAGAUAUCAGGAAGAACACCCGUGGCGAAGGCGGGUCUCUGGGCCGAUACUGACGCUGAGGAGCGAAAGCGUGGGGAGCGAACAGG
RNAcentral lists this ribosomal RNA (253 nucleotides) under uncultured bacterium. Its description in RNAcentral is "partial 16S ribosomal RNA". It matches the Rfam family "Bacterial small subunit ribosomal RNA", at positions 524 to 776 of the family's 1533-position model. The record is from RNAcentral.